Hordeum vulgare subsp. vulgare (domesticated barley) is the source of this 422-nucleotide long non-coding RNA. RefSeq lists it as uncharacterized. Lineage: Eukaryota; Viridiplantae; Streptophyta; Magnoliopsida; Poales; Poaceae. The transcript has 3 exons. The record is from RefSeq and is a predicted model, not a curated record.
ACCGUUCCAUCUACUGCCAACAUACAUCAGAGAUGGUGCAGCCUGCUUUCUAAAUAUGGGCUCGUUAUCUGCUGCAGAUGAGUACUGCACUCCUCGUGUUAUCAAGUCACUCAAGAAAUAAUCUGCCAGUACUUGCAGUGCCUGAGUUGAUGGUGGUAGGCAACUCUGGCGACAGAGACCCCCAUGCCUGAAGCCUAUUCACUGUAGUCUCUCAUGUAUGGUCAAGCAAUCAUGCAAUUCAGACAAUCACCAUAGUAUCUCGUUUGCUAACUUAAUUGCUAAAAAUAAAUUCUGUUUUGAACCAAUCUGUCUCGAAUUAAAAUCAAGAUAAUUCUGUUAUUUGAUUGACCCAAUCCCAAACGUACUGUUGAAUUCGGCAUGGUUUCUUAGAUACUAGAUUUUCCGUUAAGGUGUCAGAUGAC